This 288-nucleotide ribosomal RNA is filed under the name uncultured bacterium. RNAcentral describes it as "partial 16S ribosomal RNA". It matches the Rfam family "Bacterial small subunit ribosomal RNA", at positions 28 to 319 of the family's 1533-position model. The record is from RNAcentral.
GACGAACGCUGGCGGCGUGCUUAACACAUGCAAGUCGAGCGGUAAGGCACCUUCGGGUGUACACGAGCGGCGAACGGGUGAGUAACACGUGAGUAAUCUGCCCUUCACUUCGGGAUAACCGCCGGAAACGGUGGCUAAUACCGGAUACGACGCGCUUUCGCAUGAGAUGCGCGUGGAAAGUUUUAUCGGUGGAGGAUGUGCUCGCGGCCUAUCAGCUUGUUGGUGGGACGGCCGUACCAAGGCUUCGACGGGUAGCCGGCCUGAGAGGGUGACCGGCCACACUGGGAC